CAGUAGCCGCGGUAAUACAGAGGGUGCGAGCGUUAAUCGGAUUUACUGGGCGUAAAGCGUGCGUAUGCGGCUUCUUAAGUCGGAUGUGAAAUCCCUGAGCUUAACUUAGGAAUUGCAUUCGAUACUGGGAAGCUAGAGUAUGGGAGAGGAUGGUAGAAUUCCAGGUGUAGCGGUGAAAUGCGUAGAGAUCUGGAGGAAUACCGAUGGCGAAGGCAGCCAUCUGGCCUAAUACUGACGCUGAGGUACGAAAGCAUGGGGAGCAAACAGGAUUAGAUACCCGAGUAGUCCCUGUCUCUUAACA
Molecule: ribosomal RNA, 301 nt
Filed under: uncultured bacterium
Lineage: Bacteria
Description: partial 16S ribosomal RNA
Rfam family: Bacterial small subunit ribosomal RNA
Source: RNAcentral